GGGCGUAUAGCUCAGUUGGUUAGAGCGUUCCCUUCACACGGGAGAGGUCACAAGUUCGAAUCUUGUUACGCCCACCA
Molecule: transfer RNA, 77 nt
Filed under: Thalassospira lucentensis
Lineage: Bacteria; Pseudomonadati; Pseudomonadota; Alphaproteobacteria; Rhodospirillales; Thalassospiraceae
Also listed under: 22 other names
Description: tRNA-Val
Rfam family: tRNA
About the family: Transfer RNA (tRNA) molecules are approximately 80 nucleotides in length.
Source: RNAcentral